CUGCUGCAUGGGGACGUCCAUCUCGAAGUGUGUGAGGAGAAGCGCAGAGCCGGAGUAUAAACUUAGUGAUUUAUUUACGUGUGGGGGAGACUGUUAUACAGGGUGUAUGCAGGAGUCACAAGAGCCCCCCCUGGAUGAUAUUCUAAUAGGAAAAUAAAGACAGGAUCUUUCCAAUCUCUGAUUCUACAUUUUAAUUCAAUGAAUUGAAAUAUCAGGUUUUUACAUUAGAUGGAUAGCCAAUGGGGAGUGCCCAUGAUGUUAAGAAUCUCACUUCAAAAAAGAUGACUUCAUAUGACAAAGCGGAAUAAACUUUCCACUGGGCUUCUUAAUUUUCCUUCAAAACCAAGCUGAUGCAAAGAAAAUGAGACACCUAUUCACCUCCAAAUAUCUUUGGGUGGAACUUCUAUCCAAUGGGACUUGAGAUUUAUUGCUGUCAUACCGAGA
Molecule: long non-coding RNA, 444 nt
Organism: Hyla sarda
Lineage: Eukaryota; Metazoa; Chordata; Amphibia; Anura; Hylidae
Exons: 3
Source: RefSeq, a predicted model, not a curated record